GAUGAACGCUGGCGGCGUGCCUAAUACAUGCAAGUCGAACGCUGGAGCUCUAGCUUGCUAGAUCGAAGGAGUGGCGAACGGGUGAGUAAUACAUAAGCAACCUACCCACGAAGACUGGGAUAAUCUCUGGAAACGGGGACUAAUACCGGAUAGGUAAUCGGAAGGCAUCUUCUGGUUAUUAAAGGUUAAAAACACUGGUGGAUGGGCUUAUGGCGCAUUAGUUAGUUGGUGAGGUAACGGCCCACCAAGACGAUGAUGCGUAGCCGGCCUGAGAGGGUGAACGGCCACAUUGGGACUGAGACACGGCCCAGACUCCUACGGGAGGCAGCAGUAGGGAAUUUUCGGCAAUGGGGGCAACCCUGACCGAGCAACGCCGCGUGAGUGAAGACGGCCUUCGGGGUGUAAAGCUCUGUUGUAAGGGAAGAACGGUAGAUAGAGAAUAUCUAAGUGACGGUACCUUACCAGAAAGCCACGGCUAACUACGUG
RNAcentral lists this ribosomal RNA (486 nucleotides) under uncultured bacterium. RNAcentral describes it as "partial 16S ribosomal RNA". It matches the Rfam family "Bacterial small subunit ribosomal RNA", at positions 28 to 507 of the family's 1533-position model. The record is from RNAcentral.